Molecule: ribosomal RNA, 468 nt
Filed under: uncultured bacterium
Lineage: Bacteria
Description: partial 16S ribosomal RNA
Rfam family: Bacterial small subunit ribosomal RNA
Source: RNAcentral
GACGAACGCUGGCGGCGUGCUUAACACAUGCAAGUCGAACGGAAAGGCCCUGCUUUUGUGGGGUGCUCGAGUGGCGAACGGGUGAGUAACACGUGAGUAACCUGCCCUUGACUUUGGGAUAACUUCAUGAAACUGGGGCUAAUACCGGAUAGGAGCUCCUGCUUCAUGGUGGGGGUUGGAAAGUUUCGGCGGUUGGGGAUGGACUCGCCGCUUAUCAGCUUGUUGGUUGGGUAGUGGCUUACCAAGGCUUUGACGGGUAGCCGGCCUGCGAGGGUGACCGGCCACAUUGGGACUGAGAUAAGGCCCAGACUCGUAUGGGACGCAGCAGUGGGGAAUAUUGCACUAUGGGCGGAAGCCUGAUGCAGCAACGCCGCGUGCGGGAUGACGGCAUUCGGGUUGUAAACCGCUGUCGUCUGUGACGAAGCGUGAGUGACGGUAAUGGGUAAAGAAGCACCGGCUAACUACGUG